UGACCCCCGCCGCCCCGCGGGCCUGCCCCGCGCCGAGUCCGUCCCUCUCGUCGCUGCGUCCGCCCCGGGUGCCAGCCCCGCGGGGGCCGCGGGGGACCCGAGCGCCCGACCUCUCCCCCCCGCCCGGCCCCUUCCCCUCCCAGCCCCUGCGGGGCAGCCCCGCUCCCAGCGGCCUGGGCCUGGGGCCGGCGGCAGCCGGCAGGCCGCACACUUCGUAAAGACCGGCUGGGUGUUGCUGGCAAACAGCCGGCAGUGAAUCACGGCGCUGGGUGCUCCUGGUAGCCAUAUAAAUAUCCAGCCCCGUUAGCAAUCUCAAAAUCUUGGCCCAACUAACGGUGACAGCGGUGCUGCAAUUUCUCUGCGCGGUACGUCAUCUCUCUAACACCGCUUUCCAGACAGAGCAGCAGGUCCCCAGAGCGCUCGGUGGAGGCAGUCCCGGGGAUCGAAUAAAAGCACAACGAUCGUUACACGCAUGCCUCUCAAGCGUAAGUUGUGCAGAGAUUUCCACUGAGCUGCAUAAAACAACCCCUGGUCCCUUUCUUGGCUGGACAGAUGUAUAGAUUAAUUGUAAAUAGAUCUGGUUUUAGCUCCACAUGUUAAAUAAACAUUCAGUUCUCCAGUG
Molecule: long non-coding RNA, 622 nt
Organism: Harpia harpyja (harpy eagle)
Lineage: Eukaryota; Metazoa; Chordata; Aves; Accipitriformes; Accipitridae
Exons: 2
Source: RefSeq, a predicted model, not a curated record